This 307-nucleotide long non-coding RNA is filed under the name Oreochromis niloticus (Nile tilapia). RNAcentral describes it as "lncRNA (ENSONIG00000027955.1)". Lineage: Eukaryota; Metazoa; Chordata; Actinopteri; Cichliformes; Cichlidae. The record is from RNAcentral.
GCCUGUUACCAGGAUGUAAAAGGAACCUUUUUUUAUCAUUCUUCUCUUACAGCUGCUGUCAGUUUCCUGUGAGGCUGAAUGUUGAGGCCAAAGACGAGGAGGGCGAGAAGAGCACAAGCUCGGACGAGGUGUGUCUUAGGUUCAUGCUAACUAAGGAAAAAGACAGUAGUGGAAGAAGUUUGUUUCUUGACUGAAAAGCUUCCAGAAGUCUCCUGAGGGGCCUCUGAAAGCGUUUGGCGUUGGGGUCACGGGGUUAAGCUGAGGUGAAGUGGUCCGGAAAAGGUCCAGAGAUCGGGAGAUGAUAACG